This 1315-nucleotide long non-coding RNA is filed under the name Ricinus communis (castor bean). RNAcentral's name for it is "long non-coding RNA (RCOM_LNC003503)". Lineage: Eukaryota; Viridiplantae; Streptophyta; Magnoliopsida; Malpighiales; Euphorbiaceae. The record is from RNAcentral.
CUCAUUUCGUCCAAAUUUUUAUAAAGAACCAUUAACUAGAUUUAGUUUUAUACUGUUUACCCCUUGAUUUUUGGUAUAAUAUAUAAAUUAUCCCUUAUAGUAUACUUAUUAUACUAAAACUCCAUUAUCUAUUUUUUAUACAAAAAUCAAUUUUAGUGUCUGUACAAAAAUAAUGAAUUAGUGUUCUUUAAAUACUCUAAUUUUUAGCAUAAUUAAAUUCUAGUAAAAUUUAAAUAUUUUAAAAGUACUUAUAUUAAUCAAAAUAUUAAAAAAUUUAUAUAAUUUAAUUUUGAAUUGUUAAAAUAAAAUAGAUAGUAUUAUUAUUAUAAAUUUUAUUCCAAUAGAAUUAUAACUUUGAUAAAAAAAUUUAAGAAUCAAAUUAUAUUUUUUUAUCAAUUUAGAUCCUUAAUUACAUUGACUUUCCAAAAACAAGGAAAUUUUAGUGCAAUAAAUAAAAUAUAGGUGGCAAUUUGUAUAUUACACAAAAAAAAAUCAGGAGGCAAAUUAUAUAAAACGAACCCUAAUUAACGAUUCCCUAACAGAAGUUCUAAACGAAAGAGAUUUUUAGAAUAAAAUUACAAAAUAGAAGGAUGAAAAAAUAUAUUUUUUAAAUGUAAAGGGUAACUAGUAUAAUAUGAAAAAACGCAGGGGGGGGGGGGGGGUAAAUAGUAACUACCCCAAUAAAGAAACAUGUUAACCCAAAACCCACCCUCUUACUUCCACUUAAGGAAAGCUGCAAGAUUAGUGCUACCUAGCCAAUCCUAAACCUCCAAAGAAGCAGGCCAAACAAAAUAUAUUGAUUGUAAAUAAAAGUUCAAAAAAGUUUCAGGUUCCACCAAAAAAGGGAGAAAGAAAAGGUUUCCUCAAGAUUCUUCUUUGCUUAGUUUACCAAGAGCUCUUUGCAUUCUUUGCUCAUAGAGUUGCUUUUCCCUAACUUCUUUAGCAGCAAGGGCUUCUUCAUCAAGUACUUGAAUGGGAAACCACACUGGUAACUUCAACCAACCACCUUUCUUUUCUUUGUCCCCAUAUAAGGAUUGUUUAAAGCUCCUCAAUUUUGGUUUUAGCUUUAUAGUUGCAAAAUCCACAGUUGUUCCCACAACAGCAAAGAUAAUUGAGUAACGGAAUGCACCAAAUUGACCACCUAAAACGUCACAAUAAUUAUAAAAAGGAAAAGAAAAGUUAACUAUACAGAGACAGGAAGAUGAAAAGAUGAAGCAGAUGAAUCAAAUAUGAUAUUUAAGAUGUUCAUUGACAUCAAGUUCAAAUGUGACGGAUCCGGAUACACAUCACCACUCAUUGCGGAACUUGCUCAAUC